UUAAAAAAGAUAAAGUUACUAAGAGUUUAUAGUGGAUGCCUUGGGACUAGAAGUCGAUGAAGGACGUGAUAACCUGCGAUAAGCAACGGGGAAGUGGAAAUAGCUUUUGAUCCGUUGAUUUCCGAAUGGGGCAACCCGCUGAUAUUAACCCAUCAGCAUAUAUUAAUGAAUACAUAGUUAAUAUAAGAGACACCUAGGGAAGUGAAACAUCUCAGUACCUAGAGGAAAAUAAAAUAAGAAAAUGAUUCCCUAAGUAGCGGCGAGCGAACGGGGAAAAGCCCAAACCAGGUUUACCUGGGGUUGUAGGACUCUCUUACAGAGUUACAAAAUCAAUUGAUAGCAAAAAUAAUUGGAAAAUUAUGCCAUAGAAAGUGAAAGCCUUGUAUGCGAAAUCAAUUGAUCUCUUGAGAGUAUCCUGAGUACGACGAGACACGAGAAAUCUUGUCGGAAUCUGCGAGGACCAUCUCGUAAGGCUAAAUACUAUCUAGUCACCGAUAGUGAACCAGUACCGUGAGGGAAAGGUGAAAAGUACCCCGAGAGGGGAGUGAAAAAGUAUCCUGAAACUAUAAACUUACAAGAAGUCAGAGGGCGUUAAUGCCUGAUGGCGUGCCUAUUGAAGAAUGAGCCGGCGAGUUAUGUUUGCAUGCAAGGUUAAGUCGUAAAGACGGAGCCGUAGUGAAAGCGAGCCUUAAGAGGGCGCUAGUAUGUAGCCAUAGACCCGAAACCCAGUGAUCUAGUCAUGACCAGGUUGAAGGUGUAGUAAAAUACACUGGAGGACCGAACCGACGUUCGUUGAAAAGACCGCGGAUGAGUUGUGACUAGUGGUGAAAUUCCAAUCGAACUGGGUGAUAGCUGGUUCUCCCCGAUAUAGCUUUAGGGCUAGCGUCUGGAUUAAAGGAGAACGAAGGUAGAGCUCUGAAUAUACGAUGGCCUCAUCUAGAGGUACUGAGUAUAAUUAAACUACGAAUGUCGUUCUAACCAUACCAGGCAGUCAGUACGUGUGCGAUAAGGUUCAUGUACGUAACGGAAACAGCCGAUGAUCACCAAAUAAGGUCCCAAAAUUUAUGCUAAGUGGAAAAGGAAGUGUCACUACUAAUACAGCUAGAAUGUUUGCUUAGAAGCAGCAAUCGUUUAAAGAGUGCGUAACAGCUCACUAGUCUAGUGGUAAUGCGCCGAAAAUGUACCGGGGCUAAAGCAUAAUACCGAAUUUGUGGGUGUAUAAACUAUGUUUAUACGCGGUAGGGGAGCGUUCUUAUUGCGCUGAAGAUUGACCGUGAGGACAGUUGGAGCGAUGAGAAGUGAGAAUGCCGGCAUGAGUAACGAAUGAAGGUGAGAAUCCUUCACACCUAUUGACUAAGGUUUCCUGGGCCAGGUUCGUCCACCCAGGGUUAGUCGGGACCUAAGGCCAGGCCGAAAGGAGUAGCCGAUGGACAACAGGUUUAUAUUCCUGUACUUGGAUAUUGAGAAAUGGAGUGACAGAGAAGGUUAUGUCAGCCGGUCAUUGGUAGUACCGGCCUAAGCAUCAAGGUGGUCAUGUAGGCAAAUCCGCAUGGCGUAACAUUGAGGUGUAAAAGAUACCGAAACCCUCGGGGAGUAGGAAAGUGACAAAUAUCACGCUUUCAAGAAAAACUUCUAUCGCUAAUCAAUAUCUAACCCGUACCGAUAACGAACACACGUGGUCAAGAAGAAAAUUCUAAGGUGAGCGAGAUAACUAUAGCUAAGGAACUCUGCAAAAUCACCCCGUACGUUCGCAAGAAGGGGUGCUCAUAACUAUGAGCCUCAGUAAAGAGGCCGGGGGAACUGUUUACCAAAAACACAGCUCUGUGCUAAGUCGUAAGACAAUGUAUACAGGGUGACGCCUGCCCAGUGUCGGAAGGUUAAAGCGAGAUGUCAGCGGUUUUGCCGCGAAGCAUUGACCUGAAGCCCCGAUGAACGGCGGCCGUAACUAUAACGGUCCUAAGGUAGCGAAAUUCCUUGUCAGGUAAGUUCUGACCCGCACGAAUGGCGUAAUCAUCCCGGCGCUGUCUCGGCUAUAGACUCGGUGAAAUUUUAGUACCUGUGAAGAUGCAGGUUACCCGCAACUAGACGGAAAGACCCCAUGAAGCUUUACUACAGCUUGAUAUUGUGUUUUAGUAAUAUUUGUAUAGGAUAAGUGAGAGACUUUGAAGUGUGAGCGCCAGCUUGCAUGGAGUCAACCUUGGAAUAUCACUCUUAUAUUAUUGAAAUACUAACUUGUUCCCAUUAUCUGGGAAGAGGACAGUGUCAGGUGGGUAGUUUGACUGGGGCGGUCGCCUCCUAAAAUGUAACGGAGGCACCCAAAGGUAUUCUCAACAUGGUCGGAAAUCAUGUGUAGAGCGUAAAAGUAGAAGAAUGCUUGACUGUGAGGCCUACAAGCCGAACAGGAACGAAAGUUGGGUUUAGUGAUCCGGCGGUGCUGUAUGGAAAGGCCGUCGCUCAAUGGAUAAAAGCUACUCUGGGGAUAACAGGCUAAUCUCCUCCAAGAGUUCAUAUCGACGAGGAGGUUUGGCACCUCGAUGUCGGCUCAUCACAUCCUGGCGCUGUAGUAGGUGCCAAGGGUUUGGCUGUUCGCCAAUUAAAGUGGUACGUGAGCUGGGUUCAGAACGUCGUGAGACAGUUCGGUCCCUAUCUGUUGUGGGCGUAGGAAAAUUGAGAUGAUCUGUUCUUAGUACGAGAGGACCGGAAUGGACACACCGCUAGUGCUCUAGUUGUCACGCCAGUGGCACAGCUAGGUAGCUAUGUGUGGAAUAGAUAAGCGCUGAAAGCAUCUAAGCGCGAAACUAACAUCAAGAUGAGUUUUCCCACCAAUUUAUUGGAUAAGUUCCCUUGUAGACAACAAGGUUGAUAGGAUGGGUGUGUAAGUGCCGUGAGGCAUUGAGCUAACCAUUACUAAUAGAACGAGGACUUUACUUUUUUAAAU
This 2938-nucleotide ribosomal RNA is filed under the name Mycoplasma sp. (ex Biomphalaria glabrata). RNAcentral describes it as "bacterial LSU rRNA". It matches the Rfam family "Bacterial large subunit ribosomal RNA". The record is from RNAcentral. Lineage: Bacteria; Bacillati; Mycoplasmatota; Mollicutes; Mycoplasmatales; Mycoplasmataceae.